Long non-coding RNA from Mesocricetus auratus (golden hamster), 1472 nucleotides. RefSeq lists it as uncharacterized. The record is from RefSeq and is a predicted model, not a curated record. The transcript has 2 exons. Lineage: Eukaryota; Metazoa; Chordata; Mammalia; Rodentia; Cricetidae.
AGACGGCUGGCCGCCUGGUCCUCCCAGGGUCGGCUCUGCGGUCCCAAGCGCUCCCGGGCUGCGCUGAGGCGCGCGGAGGAGGAGGAGCUGGUGAGGGUCACCGAUCGCCUCCGGACGCUCAGUAAAUAUUUGUUGAAUGAAUGAGCGGUGAGCUACUGCCUUCGCCUCCGGGAGCGUCUGCAGAAGCCGGGAGAGCCGGAAGCCCGGCUUCAAGGCCCGCAGGGAACUAGUGCAAGGGACUCGGGCGCUUCGGAAGUAUCCGAUCUAGGGGACCUUCCGUUAGGAAACUGUUGACAGAACUCUAAUCUGGGAAUCCCAAACUCAGGGAUUUAUUUCUUGCCAGUUGCAAUUUCACACUGAGGGAAGGUGUCCGCUCCAAGAGGUCCCUUUCCAAGUGGCCCCCUUCCCAGAAGGCACCCCUGUGGAGAUGAUCCGGGAACAUCCAUCCCGGUCUUUCUCCAGACUUGGACUAAGGACUCCAAAAGGCGGCUGUGGAAAAGCACAGGGGUGAGCGUGGCGCCCUCUGCGGGAAGAUGCGCUUCCCCCAGAAGAGAUCUCCAGAAUGAGAUAGACUCUACUUUUUUAUUACUAUAAAACUUCAGACUAAAGGGCCAGUUAGCUUCGCCAUCUGAAAACAUACUUCUUGCGAGAAAUUGUGUUGUUGUUGGAGUCUAUGGAGGCUUUCUUUCCAGUUUGGAACCUGACAAGAAUAGAACAUGAAAAAUUAAAACACGCAGUAAAAAACAGACAUGCUUGAUUAGAGAUACGUGAGCCAGCGCUUGUGACUUUUUGCAAACUAUGCCUGAAUAAUUUGCUGGAUUUUGUUGUUGUUGUUGUUGUUUGUUUGUUUUUAAUCCUGAUUUUCCUCUUUAGAAAGUAAGUCCCGAACUUGGAGUCCUGGAUGAGAGAAACAAAACAGCUGCUGGAGGAAGUAAGACUGGAAGAGAUGAAUGCAUGCCGCAGGAGGUUAGGCUUGCUGAGAAACCCUAGCAAGGAGCACGGGGAGAGUGGGUGCCAUGGAUUUACAAAGAGGCUUCUGGAAAGACCUCUGAGAUAAGAACCCACUGACGGCAGAACUUCAGGAAGUGAGGAUGGCCCACAAUAAAGGGGAAGUGUUCUGGACGGACGGCCCAGCGAAUGCAAAGGCCACUGAGCAGGUCUAACAGGCUCCAAACUGGCAAAGAAUUGGAGUAAAAGAGACAGAACUGGAGUGGAAAGGAGGACCAUGACCAGGAUGAGGACUUGCAAGACGUUCUGGAGGUUUUGAGCUUGGGUUGGUGGGGUACAGACACUGGACGAAGGAGGCGGGCUUCCCAGCCAGGAUGGUGGGUGACUGGGAAAGGGCUUGAGUUCUGGACACAAACUGAAGGGAGUGACAACAGGAGAGUGGGAGCCUAGAGGGACUCUACAGGAGGCUUGUCCGCCUCUCUGCCUUACUGUCAUGUAUUUCUGGAAAAGAUCUGACAAAAAGA